RNAcentral lists this unclassified non-coding RNA (379 nucleotides) under Hevea brasiliensis (rubber tree). Lineage: Eukaryota; Viridiplantae; Streptophyta; Magnoliopsida; Malpighiales; Euphorbiaceae. The record is from RNAcentral.
GUUCUCUGAAAGUGGCAAGUUGGUAUGUUUUCAUGCUCUAUAAGCUGUAAAAAUGCUUAUGGCCUCUGUAACUUGCUUAUUAUAUUCAUUUUAAAUUUUUUGUGGCAGUUUUUUAACAGUUGUAACCUAUUUUAACCAAUAUUUGAUCAUUUAUCAAUCUUUUAGAGUCAACGUGAUUUCUCAUUGUUGGUGCAUAAAUUAAUGUCUGGUUUGAAUUUUUUACAUUUUUCUUUUUCUUUUUAUGAUAAUAAGUUGCUUAUUUCAUUAUUUUAGGUGAAAUUUAAUGAUUAAACUUGUUUGUAUUGUUUGUUUUUCCAAUAUGAUGAUUGAUAUUUUAACUACAUUUUUUUAAGUAAGUAAAUGCCUUGCUGCAUUAUCU